This 21-nucleotide non-coding RNA is filed under the name Arabidopsis thaliana (thale cress). The record is from RNAcentral. Lineage: Eukaryota; Viridiplantae; Streptophyta; Magnoliopsida; Brassicales; Brassicaceae.
CGCAGUUAAGCGUGCUUGGGC